UACAGAGGUCUCGAGCGUUGUUCGGAUUCAUUGGGCGUAAAGGGCGCGUAGGCGGCGGGGUAAGUCUGGUGUGAAAUCUCGGAGCUCAACUCCGAAAUUGCACUCGAUACUGCUUUGCUUGAGGACUGGAGAGGAGAUUGGAAUUCACGGUGUAGCAGUGAAAUGCGUAGAUAUCGUGAGGAAGACCAGUGGCGAAGGCGGAUCUCUGGACAGUUCCUGACGCUGAGGCGCGAAGGCCAGGGGAGCAAACGGG
RNAcentral lists this ribosomal RNA (253 nucleotides) under uncultured bacterium. RNAcentral describes it as "partial 16S ribosomal RNA". It matches the Rfam family "Bacterial small subunit ribosomal RNA", at positions 524 to 776 of the family's 1533-position model. The record is from RNAcentral.